AAACAUGUCUUUUUGAAUUGUAUUUAAAGUCUGACCUGCCCACUGAGUAAUUUUAAAUGGCCGCAGUAUUUUGACUGUGCAAAGGUAGCAUAAUCAUUAGUCUUUUAAUUGAAGGCUGGUAUGAACGGUUGGACGAAGUAUAAGCUGUUUCAUAUAAAUUUAUGAUAGAAUUUUAUAUUUUAGUUAAAAAGCUAAAAUUUUUUUAAAAGACGAGAAGACCCUAUAAAUCUUUAUAAAUAGAUCUAACUAAAUUUUUUGGAUUUAUUUUAUUUUUUUAAUAUUGAUUAUUUUGUUGGGGUGAUGUUAAAAUUUAAUGAACUUUUAAUUUUUUUAAAUCAUUAAUUUAUGAAUUAUUGAUCCAUUAAUAGUGAUUAUAAGAUUAAGUUACUUUAGGGAUAACAGCGUAAUUUUUUUUGAGAGUUCAUAUUGACAAAAAAGUUUGCGACCUCGAUGUUGGAUUAAGGAAUAAUUUUGGGGGCAGCUGCUCAAAAAUUAAGUCUGUUCGACUUUUAAUUUCUUACAUGAUC
This 527-nucleotide ribosomal RNA is filed under the name Anastrepha rheediae. RNAcentral describes it as "partial small subunit ribosomal RNA". It matches the Rfam family "Bacterial large subunit ribosomal RNA", at positions 1823 to 2605 of the family's 2925-position model. Lineage: Eukaryota; Metazoa; Arthropoda; Insecta; Diptera; Tephritidae. The record is from RNAcentral.